This 442-nucleotide ribosomal RNA is filed under the name uncultured Sphingobacteriales bacterium. RNAcentral's name for it is "bacterial SSU rRNA". It matches the Rfam family "Bacterial small subunit ribosomal RNA", at positions 940 to 1382 of the family's 1533-position model. Lineage: Bacteria; Pseudomonadati; Bacteroidota; Sphingobacteriia; Sphingobacteriales. The record is from RNAcentral.
UGUGGUUUAAUUCGAUGAUACGCGAGGAACCGUUACCUGGGCUCGAACGUAAGAUGACUGUAGGUGAAAGCUUACAUCUCUUCGGAGCAUUUUACGAGGUGCUGCAUGGUUGUCGUCAGCUCGUGCCGUGAGGUGUCGGGUUAAGUCCCAUAACGAGCGCAACCCUACCUUUAGUUGCCAUCAGGUAAUGCUGGGGACUCUAAAGGAACUGCCUACGCAAGUAGUGAGGAAGGCGGGGAUGACGUCAAAUCAGCACGGCCCUUACGUCCAGGGCUACACACGUGCUACAAUGGCCGAUACAGAGGGCAGCUACCUGGUGACAGGAUGCAAAUCUCCAAAGUCGGUCUCAGUUCGGAUCGGAGUCUGCAACCCGACUCCGUGAAGUUGGAUUCGCUAGUAAUCGCGCAUCAGCCAUGGCGCGGUGAAUACGUUCCCGGGCCUU